UACGAAGGGGGCUAGCGUUGCUCGGAAUCACUGGGCGUAAAGCGCACGUAGGCGGAUUGUUAAGUCAGGGGUGAAAUCCUGGAGCUCAACUCCAGAACUGCCUUUGAUACUGGCGAUCUUGAGUCCGGGAGAGGUGAGUGGAAUUCCGAGUGUAGAGGUGAAAUUCGUAGAUAUUGGGAGGAACACCGGUGGCGAAGGCGGCCACCUGGACAGUGACUGACGCUGAGGCGCGAAAGCAUGGGUAGCAAACAGG
This 253-nucleotide ribosomal RNA is filed under the name uncultured bacterium. RNAcentral's name for it is "partial 16S ribosomal RNA". It matches the Rfam family "Bacterial small subunit ribosomal RNA", at positions 524 to 776 of the family's 1533-position model. The record is from RNAcentral.